Molecule: ribosomal RNA, 330 nt
Filed under: uncultured Clostridiaceae bacterium
Lineage: Bacteria; Bacillati; Bacillota; Clostridia; Eubacteriales; Clostridiaceae
Description: partial 16S ribosomal RNA
Source: RNAcentral
GGAGUUUGGACCGUGUCUCAGUUCCAAUGUGGCCGAUCACCCUCUCAGGUCGGCUACUGAUCGUAGGCUUGGUGGGCCGUUACCUCACCAACUACCUAAUCAGACGCAGGCCCAUCCUUAGCCGAUAAAUCUUUGACGAAGAUGACAUGUGACUUCUCCGCAUUAUGGGGUUUUAAUCAUCGUUUCCAAUGGCUAUCCCCCUGCUAAGGGCAGGUUGCCUACGCGUUACUCACCCGUCCGCCGCUUUCCAUACAACAGAUUCUACCGAAGCUUCAUCAAAUGUAUUUCUCGCUCGACUUGCAUGUGUUAGGCACGCCGCCAGCGUUCAUC